This 67-nucleotide transfer RNA is filed under the name Callitettix biformis. RNAcentral's name for it is "tRNA-Ile". Lineage: Eukaryota; Metazoa; Arthropoda; Insecta; Hemiptera; Cercopidae. The record is from RNAcentral.
AAUAAGAUGCCUGAAAAAAGGAUUAUUUUGAUGUAAUAAACUAUGUAAACUUAAAUUACUCUUAUUA